RNAcentral lists this ribosomal RNA (815 nucleotides) under uncultured bacterium. RNAcentral's name for it is "bacterial SSU rRNA". It matches the Rfam family "Bacterial small subunit ribosomal RNA", at positions 8 to 796 of the family's 1533-position model. The record is from RNAcentral.
AGAGUUUGAUCAUGGCUCAGAACGAACGCUGGCGGCGUGGAUAAGACAUGCAAGUCGAGCGCUAAUUACAGGGUAGCAAUAUUCUGUAGUUGGAGCGGCGCAAGGGUGCGUAACACGUGGGUAAUCUGCCGUGAAGUCCGGGAUAACUCGCUGAAAGGCGAGCUAAUACCGAAUGUGAAAAUCGGAAGGCAUCUUUUGAUUUUCAAAGUUGGGGACCGUAAGGCCUGACGCUUCACGAUGAACCCGCGGCCUAUCAGCUAGUUGGUGAGGUAACGGCUCACCAAGGCUAAGACGGGUAGCUGGUCUGAGAGGACGACCAGCCACACUGGAACUGAGACACGGUCCAGACACCUACGGGUGGCAGCAGUCGAGAAUUUUUCACAAUGGGGGAAACCCUGAUGGAGCGACGCCGCGUGGGGGAUGAAUGGCUUCGGCCCGUAAACCCCUGUCAUUCGCGAACAAUGCUCAUGGUAUAACACAUCAUGAGUUGAUAGUAGCGGAAGAGGAAGGGACGGCUAACUCUGUGCCAGCAGCCGCGGUAAUACAGAGGUCCCAAGCGUUGUUCGGAUUUACUGGGCGUAAAGGGUGCGUAGGCGGUCGGGUAAGUCUGAUGUGAAAUCUCCGAGCUUAACUCGGAAAUGGCAUUGGAUACUAUUCGGCUGGAGAGUUGGAGGGGGGACUGGAAUACUUGGUGUAGCAGUGAAAUGCGUAGAUAUCAAGUGGAACACCAGUGGCGAAGGCGAGUCCCUGGACAACUUCUGACGCUGAGGCACGAAAGCUAGGGGAGCAAACAGGAUUAGAUACCCUAGUAGUCC